GACGAACGCUGGCGGCGUGCCUAAUACAUGCAAGUAGAACGCUGAAGGAGGAGCUUGCUUCUCUGGAUGAGUUGCGAACGGGUGAGUAACGCGUAGGUAACCUGCCUGGUAGCGGGGGAUAACUAUUGGAAACGAUAGCUAAUACCGCAUAAGAGUAGAUGUUGCAUGACAUUUGCUUAAAAGAUGCAAUUGCAUCACUACCAGAUGGACCUGCGUUGUAUUAGCUAGUUGGUGGGGUAACGGCUCACCAAGGCGACGAUACAUAGCCGACCUGAGAGGGUGAUCGGCCACACUGGGACUGAGACACGGCCCAGACUCCUACGGGAGGCAGCAGUAGGGAAUCUUCGGCAAUGGACGGAAGUCCGAACGAGCAACGCCGCGUGAGUGAAGAAGGUUUUCGGAUCGUAAAGCUCUGUUGUAAGAGAAGAACGAGUGUGAGAGUGGAAAGUUCACACUGUGACGGUAUCUUACCAGAAAGGGACGGCUAACUACGUG
This 495-nucleotide ribosomal RNA is filed under the name uncultured bacterium. RNAcentral describes it as "partial 16S ribosomal RNA". It matches the Rfam family "Bacterial small subunit ribosomal RNA", at positions 28 to 507 of the family's 1533-position model. The record is from RNAcentral.